Molecule: ribosomal RNA, 252 nt
Filed under: uncultured bacterium
Lineage: Bacteria
Description: partial 16S ribosomal RNA
Rfam family: Bacterial small subunit ribosomal RNA
Source: RNAcentral
UACGUAGGGGGCAAGCGUUAUCCGGAUUCACUGGGUGUAAAGGGAGCGUAGACGGCCAUGCAAGCCUGGAGUGAAAGCCCGGGGCCCAACCCCGGGACUGCUCUGGAACUGUGCGGCUGGAGUGCGGGAGGGGCAGGCGGAAUUCCUGGUGUAGCGGUGAAAUGCGUAGAUAUCAGGAGGAACACCGGCGGCGAAGGCGGCCUGCUGGACCGCGACUGACGUUGAGGCUCGAAAGCGUGGGGAGCGAACAGG